GACGAACGCUGGCGGCGUGCUUAACACAUGCAAGUCGAACGGAAAGGCCCUGCUUUUGUGGGGUGCUCGAGUGGCGAACGGGUGAGUAACACGUGAGUAACCUGCCCUUGACUUUGGGAUAACUUCAGGAAACUGGGGCUAAUACCGGAUAGGAGCUCCUGCUGCAUGGUGGGGGUUGGAAAGUUUCGGCGGUUGGGGAUGGACUCGCGGCUUAUCAGCUUGUUGGUGGGGUAGUGGCUUACCAAGGCUUUGACGGGUAGCCGGCCUGAGAGGGUGACCGGCCACAGUGGGACUGAGAUACGGCCCAGACUCCUACGGGAGGCAUCAGGGGGGAAUAUUGCGCAAUGGGCGGAAGCCUGGUGCAGCAACGCCGCGUGCGGGAUGACGGCCUUCGGGUUGUAAACCGCUUUCGCCUGUGACGAAGCGUGAGUGACGGUAAUGGGUAAAGAAGCACCGGCUAACUACGUG
This 468-nucleotide ribosomal RNA is filed under the name uncultured bacterium. RNAcentral describes it as "partial 16S ribosomal RNA". It matches the Rfam family "Bacterial small subunit ribosomal RNA", at positions 28 to 507 of the family's 1533-position model. The record is from RNAcentral.